GGGGAUGAUAAUGACAGUACCUGGAAAAGAAACCCCGGUUAACUCCGUGCCAGCAGCCGCGGUAAUACGGAGGGGGCUAGCGUUGUUCGGAAUUACUGGGCGUAAAGCGUACGUAGGCGGACUAGAAAGUAAGGGGUGAAAUCCCGGGGCUCAACCCCGGAACUGCCUUUGAUACUGCUAGUCUUGAGUUCGAGAGAGGUGAGUGGAAUUCCGAGUGUACAGGUGAAAUUCGUAGAUAUUCGGAGGAACUCCAGUGGCGAAGGCGGCUCACUGGCUCGAUACUGACGCUGAACGUACGAAAGCGUGGGGAGCAAACAGGAUUAGAUACCCUGGUAGUCCACACCGUAAACGAUGAAUGCCAGUCGUCGGGUAACAUGCUAUUCGGUGACACACCUAACGGAUUAAGCAUUCCCGCCCUGGGGGAGUACGGUUCGCAAGAAUUAACACUCAAAGGAAUUGACGG
This 463-nucleotide ribosomal RNA is filed under the name uncultured Thalassovita sp. RNAcentral describes it as "bacterial SSU rRNA". It matches the Rfam family "Bacterial small subunit ribosomal RNA", at positions 441 to 916 of the family's 1533-position model. Lineage: Bacteria; Pseudomonadati; Pseudomonadota; Alphaproteobacteria; Rhodobacterales; Roseobacteraceae. The record is from RNAcentral.